UCAGCGACAGUGCCCCCAGAGGCCAUUGAGGCCGCAGGAUUUUUUAUCUCCCCUACAGCUGAGGGCCACGCAGUGGGGGCAGUCACGGAGGAUGAAGAGCCAACAAAAUUAGCAACCCAGCCGAAAUCUGCCUUGGUUGCAGUCACGUGCGCCACCUGGAAGAGAUGUUCAGUCGGCUCCAUCAGCAUGGAUUGAAGUUACAGCUGAAAAAGUGCCGCCUGUUCCAAUGAGAGGUCACUUAGCUGGGACAUGUCAUCAGUGAGAGGGGAGUGGGUACUGACCCAGCAAAGACAACUGCAGUGCGAGACUGGCCAGUGCCCCAGACGGUAAAGCAGAUGUCUAGACCUCUUAACCUCCCACCCAGAUACAAAAUCCUGCAGGAUACACCAGGUGUGAAACACAACCUAGGGGGUCGGAGCCAAUACUUGCAG
Molecule: long non-coding RNA, 431 nt
Organism: Epinephelus moara (kelp grouper)
Lineage: Eukaryota; Metazoa; Chordata; Actinopteri; Perciformes; Serranidae
Exons: 3
Source: RefSeq, a predicted model, not a curated record